GGAUAACUACCGGAAACGGUAGCUAAUACCGGAUAAUCCCUUUCCUCGCCUGAGGAAAGGAUAAAAGGCGGAGCAAUCUGCUGAUAAGGGAUGGGCCUGCGGCGCAUUAGCUAGUUGGUGAGGUAACGGCUCACCAAGGCGACGAUGCGUAGCCGACCUGAGAGGGUGAACGGCCACACUGGGACUGAGACACGGCCCAGACUCCUACGGGAGGCAGCAGUAGGGAAUCUUCCGCAAUGGGCGAAAGCCUGACGGAGCAACGCCGCGUGAGUGAUGAAGGUUUUCGGAUCGUAAAGCUCUGUUGCCAGGGAAGAACGUCCGGUAGAGUAACUGCUACCGGAGUGACGGUA
RNAcentral lists this ribosomal RNA (350 nucleotides) under uncultured bacterium. RNAcentral's name for it is "bacterial SSU rRNA". It matches the Rfam family "Bacterial small subunit ribosomal RNA", at positions 141 to 477 of the family's 1533-position model. The record is from RNAcentral.